Molecule: ribosomal RNA, 1339 nt
Filed under: Mugil cephalus (flathead mullet)
Lineage: Eukaryota; Metazoa; Chordata; Actinopteri; Mugiliformes; Mugilidae
Description: partial 16S ribosomal RNA
Rfam family: Bacterial large subunit ribosomal RNA
Source: RNAcentral
CCUCGUACCUUUUGCAUCAUGAUUUAGCUAGUAAUAGUCAAGCAAAAAGUAUUUUAGUUUGACCCCCCGAAACCAAGUGAGCUACUCCAAGACAACCUAAAUCUAGGGUAAACCCGUCUCUGUGGCAAAAGAGUGGGAAGAGCUUUGAGUAGGGGUGACAGACCUACCGAACUUGGUUAUAGCUGGUUGCUUGAGAAAUGAAUAGGAGUUCCGCUUCUUAAAUUCUUACCCCCCUCGAUUUUAUCCCCUAUAACAGACAGCAGAAUAUCAAGAAAAUUAAGAAAGUUAAUCAAAGGGGGUACAGCCCCUUUGAAACAAGGUACAACUUUUUUAGGAGGGUACAGAUCACAUUUUACUUAAGGAACUUAUGUCUUGGUGGGCCUAAAAGCAGCCAUCCAACCAGAAAGCGUUAAAGCUCUAACAUUCCUUCCUCCCUAAUACUGAUAACAAGUCUUAGCCCCCUAACCAUAUCAAGCCGCUCCAUCGAAGCAUGGAAGUGAUUAUGCUAAAAUGAGUAAUAAGAGAAUACGUCUCUCUCCCCGCACAUGUGUAAAUCGGAGCGGACUCCCCACCGAAACUUAACGGGCCCAAACCAAGAGGGCAUUGAAUAGAAGACCUCACACUAGAAAACUAUCCAAAACCCCACCGUUAAUCCCACACUGGCGUGCCCUCAGGGAAAGGUUAAAAGGAAAAGAAGGAACUCGGCAAACACACUCCACAAGCCUCGCCUGUUUACCAAAAACAUCGCCUCUUGUAAACCCCACAUAAGAGGUCCUGCCUGCCCAGUGACCCCUGUUCAACGGCCGCGGUAUUUUAACCGCGCAAAGGUAGCGCAAUCACUUGUUCCUUAAAUGAGAACCAGUAUGAAUGGCUAGACGAGGGCUUAACUGUCUCCUUUUCCCAACCAAUGAAAUUGAUCUUCCCGUGCAGAAGCGGGAAUACUAACAUAAGACGAGAAGACCCUGCGGAGCUUUAGACGCCAGAACAGAUCACGUCAAAUACCUCUCUCAAACAGGUAACAACAAAUGAACCCUGUUCCACGUCUUAGGUUGGGGCGACCACGGUGAACAGAAAAACCCCCGCGUGGACUGAGAGCAUAUAUUCACACUUAUUAAUACUGCUUCUCACAACCAUGAGCUACAGCUCUAAAUAACAGAACUUCUGACCAAAAAAAUGAUCCGGCAACGCCGAUUAACGGACCAAGUUACCCCAGGGAUAACAGCGCAAUCCUCUUUAAGAGUCCAUAUCGACAAGAGGGUUUACGACCUCGAUGUUGGAUCAAGACAUCCUAAUGGUGCAACCGCUAUUAAGGGUUCGUUUGUUCAACGAUUAAAGUCUU